Molecule: long non-coding RNA, 3193 nt
Organism: Globicephala melas (long-finned pilot whale)
Lineage: Eukaryota; Metazoa; Chordata; Mammalia; Artiodactyla; Delphinidae
Source: RefSeq, a predicted model, not a curated record
GCUCCCCGGAACGGGGGUGUGGAUUGACUUGUGCUCACACACAGGCUUCUUGGUGGCGGCAGCAGCAGCCUUAGCGUCUCAUGCCCAUCUCUGGGGUCCGCGCUUUUAGCCGCGGCUCACGCCCGUUAAUGGAGCUCCUUUAAGCAGGGCUCUUAAUCCCCUCUCCUCGCGCACCAGGAAACAAAGAGGGAAGAAAAAGUCUCUUGCCUCUUCGGCAGGGCCAGACUUUUCCCCAGACUCCCUCCAGGCUAGCCGUGGUGCACUAACCCCCUGCAGGCUGUGUUCACGCCCCCAACCCCAGUCCUCUCCCUGCGCUCCGACCGAAGCCCGAGCCUCAACUCCCAGCCCCACCCGCCCCGGCGCGGGAGCAGACAAGCCUCUCGGACUGGACAUUGCUGCCAUGUGACAAGCCCCGCUGAUGCCAUUGAGGAUGUGAGGCCACGUGGAAGGAGAUCCCAGCCAUCCAGCCCAAAUUGCCCACUCACAGCAUUGUCGUGUUAGGACCUUGUGCGUUUCCACUUGCUCUGCCUGGCUGGAAUCUCUGCACCCCGGGGAGACCGUAUUGAACCCCGUGAUGGCAUCGCUGAGACUGGGCGCCUGUUUUUCCUCCCAAGAAGCCACAGUGCCGAGGAAGAGAACCUGAACCAUCUGUAAGAAUGUCCUCACACAAAAGCAACAUUUACCAUGUGCUUGGUAUGCGCUGGGCACGGGAUGGAACUGAGUAAGACUGACAUUGCCCCUCCACUCAGGAAACUUCUGGUCUCCUGAGCAGCCCAGCACUGACGGCGUAACAGUGCUGUGGAGCCCUGUGGGAGCCCACGGAGUAAAGGAACAUUAGGCGGGAUUGGAGGAGGUUUUACAGAGGAAACGGCUUGAGCAAAAGUCAGGAAGCGAGAGAGGACGAGGCUCCUGGAGAAUGGUAAGCAGCUUCAUGUGAUUGGGACAUGGACUGCUGAAUGUUGUGGGGAGGAAGGUGGCUGGACAGAUAAUGGAGCCCAGAUCGUGAAGGUUCUUGUAAACCAGCUUUGGUUGUUCCUGGAGGGUUUGAAGUAAGGACACUUCAUUUCUCUGCCUCAACCAUGGCUAAAAUUUAAUCCCCUAUGAGAAAUUCUUCAACAACCAACAAGCCAGCGUUUACUGAGGGUAUGCUUUGUGUAGAGUCUUAUAUUUAGAAAUGAAUAUACAACACUAAACAUGGGACAAGCUUCACUUUUUAGAUCUCCCCACCAGCCAUCAACACUCGCCAGAAUAUCAAGUCCACAGGCACCUGAGGUGCGUGGUAUUGUGCCAUGUGUUAAGUAUGGAAGGGCACAUGGUCGGCAUCCCAGAAGUGAGUGGGCCUGGAUGUAUAUUGAGCUACCUGGAUAUUCUGAACUUGAGGCCCCUCUUGCCUUUGGCCUCCAUCCAAGUCCUGACUUUUCCUUAGCAGACCUGCUCAUCCUGAGAAUUUGGAUUUGCUCGCCCACCCUGCUUAGCUGCUGCUCACCUGCUGACUGCCACAUCUUGAUUGUCAUGUUGAACUCUCUCCCUCUAAGACAACGACCCUCAGCUUGAGCAUCCUGACGGUGAUACGUGACCCCUCACCUCUGGUCCAGAGUGGGCUUGCCCAGCGUCCCCCCCACAUCUCCGCAUGAUGGGUACCUAUGGAAAGGGUCAUGGCUCUCAGCCUGUCUCGCACCAGCUUGACGAGCAUACUCUUCUGGAGUGGGGUGGAGCGGCAGCACAGGACAGACCGGCAAUACUGGGUCAACUCCAGAAAUUUCUCCUCCAGUUUUCCCUGGAAAAUGGCAUUCAACGUCUUCCCAUCGAUGACCAAUCCAACCUCUGGAACUGCAGCUCCUGAGGUGGGGGGUGGCGUCGCAGAAGGUAGGCGGAAGAACCCAGAGAGCUUGUGGUCCGGCUUCUGUGGUCCAUGAAGUUGCUUUACCUCUUCCAAUACCAAGUUGAGGAUGGAUUCACAGGUUUCCUAUAAAGAGCAGAAUAAUGAAUUUGGUGUCAGUAAGCAACAUUAGAAACAGGUUAAAAAUGUCACUUUAUCCUUUAGUUAAGGAGUUAUAAAACUCUACCCCCAUAGAGAUGACCCGGGAUUUCACUUUCUGAUUUUGACAUUUCUCUGCAAUAUUUCAAACAGCAUCAAAGCAAUAGUAAUUUGGAAACAAAUUAAUGGCCAAAAUAGGAGAGACAGCUUGGGAAUGGGAGUGGAGAUAGCACAGCAAGAUGCGGGCCUUUUACAGGGAUGACAGAAUGUAGUAAAUGAUACUGAUACGAUGGCAAAUGAUGACAACGUGUCAUGCUGGUAUCCUACUUUCCAUUUCUCACAAGUCAUUUCUGUUCUCCUUUGUUCCUCAGAACAUUCCUGUGUGGUAGGUAGGGUGAGUAUUACUGACUUUAGUUUCGAGAUGAGGAAAUUGAAACAGUGAAAUCCUUAGUAACUUGCCCAAGGUCAUCUCGAAUUGUGGCUUCUUAACUGAAAAAAUACAUUGCAUGUUUAUCCGUUUGUAUAAAUGUAUUGGUCGUACUGGUUAAAACUGACUAUGUGGGCUUCCCUGGUGGCGCAGUGGUUGAGAGUCUGCCUGCCGAUGCAGGGGACAUGGGUUUGUGCCUUAGUCCGGGAGGAUCCCACAUGCCACGGAGCGGCUGGGCCCGUGAGCCAUGGCCACUGAGCCUGCGUGUCCGGAGCCUGUGCUCCGCAACGGGAGAGGCCACAACAGUGAGAGGCCUGUGUACCGCAAAAAACAAAAAAAAACAAAAAAAAACUGACCAUGUAUGUGAGUCUUAUUGAGUUUUUCUGAUGUUUACCUUGAAACAUGGUGAAGAAAUUAUUUCCUCUUAUCAAUUCUCCUCCAUUACUUUUGUUUGUAUCAAAGAUAAAGACAGAUCUUGGAUCUAAAGAUAUCCUUAAUACCUCUUUCACUUGUUUACACAUCACUUUUAAAUAAAGAUAGAGAAAAGUGGUGGCAGUCAGCUGUACUAUCAAUUUUAAUUUCAUUGUUCUGUUCACGGGGUCUUUAUUUAGCAGUGUUCUUUUAUCCGUGGCAAGGGAUGAUGAUUUUUCAUUUACUUUAGUGCUAAAAAUUCUUCUAAAAAUAAGUUUUGAAAAGUUCAAAGUGAGUCUAUUUAAAUGAAAUCAUUAAAUAAACAACAGUAUAGAUAAUAUGUGGAUUUAGGCAAAAAUCGUGAAGGUUGUUCUGAA